This 138-nucleotide ribosomal RNA is filed under the name uncultured bacterium. RNAcentral's name for it is "partial 16S ribosomal RNA". It matches the Rfam family "Bacterial small subunit ribosomal RNA", at positions 355 to 509 of the family's 1533-position model. The record is from RNAcentral.
UGGGGAAUAUUGGGCAAUGGGCGCAAGCCUGACCCAGCAACGCCGCGUGAAGGAAGAAGGCUUUCGGGUUGUAAACUCUUUUAAGAGGGAAGAGCAGAAGACGGUACCUCUUGAAUAAGCCACGGCUAACUACGUGCC